GACGAACGCUGGCGGCGUGCUUAACACAUGCAAGUCGAACGGUGAAGGGGUCUGCUUUUGUGGGCCCUGGAUGAGUGGCGAACGGGUGAGUAACACGUGAGUAACCUGCCCCCUUCUUCUGGAUAACCGCAUGAAAGUGUGGCUAAUACGGGAUAUUCUGGGUCUGUCGCAUGAUGGGUCUGGGAAAGAUUGCGCCUUUGGGUGUUUUUGGUGGGGGAUGGGCUCGCGGCCUAUCAGCUUGUUGGUGGGGUGAUGGCCUACCAAGGCGGUGACGGGUAGCCGGCCUGAGAGGGUGGACGGUGAGACGGGGACUGAGACACGGCCGAGAGUCCUACGGGAGGCAGCAGUGGGGAAUAUUGCACAAUGGGCGCAAGCCUGAUGGAGCGACGCCGCGUGAGGGAGGGAGGCCUUCGGGUUGUAAACCUCUUUCGCCAGUGAAGCAGGCCUGCUCCGUGUGGGUGGGUUGACGGUAGCUGGAUAAGAAGCGCCGGCUAACUACGUG
This 502-nucleotide ribosomal RNA is filed under the name uncultured bacterium. RNAcentral describes it as "partial 16S ribosomal RNA". It matches the Rfam family "Bacterial small subunit ribosomal RNA", at positions 28 to 507 of the family's 1533-position model. The record is from RNAcentral.